GAACCGGAUUAGAUACCCGGGUAGUCCACGCCGUAAACGAUGGAUACUAGCUGUUUGGGGUAUCGACCCCCUGAGUAGCGAAGCUAACGCGUUAAGUAUCCCGCCUGUGGAGUACGAUCGCAAGAUUAAAACAUAAAGGAAUUGACGGGGACCCGCACAAGCGGUGGAUCAUGUUCUUUAAUUCGAUGAUAACCGAUAAACCUUACCAGGUCUUGACAUCCUUGGAAUCUUUCAGAAAUGAGAGAGUGCUUUUUAAGAGCCAAGUGACAGGUGAUGCAUGGCCGUCGUCAGCUCGUGUCGUGAGAUGUUUGGUUAAGUCCAUCAACGAGCGCAACCCUUGUCAGUAGUUGUAUUUUUCUACUGAGACUGCCCCGGCAACGGGGAGGAAGGAGGGGAUGACGUCAGGUCAGUAUUUCCCUUACGUCCUGGGCUAGAAACGUGAUACAAUGGCUAGUACAAUGCGCAGCGAAGCCGCGAGGUGAAGCAAAUCGCAUCAAAGCUAGUCCCAGUUCGGAUUGUAGGCUAAAACUCGCCUGCAUGAAGUCGGAAUCGCUAGUAAUCGCAGAUCANGCAUGCUGCGGUGAAUACGUUCCCGGGUCUUGUACACACCGCCCGUCAAACCAUGAAAGUCACUAACACCCGAAGUCCGAUUCGUCGGCCUAAGGUGGGAGGGAUGAUUGGGGUU
This 685-nucleotide ribosomal RNA is filed under the name uncultured Candidatus Saccharibacteria bacterium. RNAcentral's name for it is "bacterial SSU rRNA". It matches the Rfam family "Bacterial small subunit ribosomal RNA", at positions 770 to 1482 of the family's 1533-position model. The record is from RNAcentral. Lineage: Bacteria; Candidatus Saccharimonadota.